RNAcentral lists this ribosomal RNA (253 nucleotides) under uncultured bacterium. RNAcentral describes it as "partial 16S ribosomal RNA". It matches the Rfam family "Bacterial small subunit ribosomal RNA", at positions 524 to 776 of the family's 1533-position model. The record is from RNAcentral.
UACGUAGGCAGCAAGCGUUGUUCGGAAUUACUGGGCGUAAAGAGUGUGUAGGCGGUGCUCUAAGUUCGGUGUGAAAUCUCCUGGCUCAACUGGGAGGGUGCGCCGGAAACUGGCGAACUGGAGUGUGGCAGAGGGGGGUGGAAUUCCGCGUGUAGCAGUGAAAUGCGUAGAUAUCGGGAGGAACACCUGUGGCGAAAGCGGCUCACUGGACCACAACUGACGCUGAGGCGCGAAAGCUAGGGGAGCAAACAGG